CCUACGGGGUGCAGCAGUGAGGAAUAUUGGUCAAUGGGCGCGAGCCUGAACCAGCCAAGUAGCGUGAAGGAUGACUGCCCUACGGGUUGUACACUGCUUUUAUACGGGAAUAACGCGCCUUACGUGUAGGGCUUUGCAUGUAACGUAUGAAUAAGGACCGGCUAAUUCCGUGCCAGCAGCCGCGGUAAUACGGAAGGUCCGGGCGUUAGCCGGGUUUAUUGGGUUUAAAGGGAGCGUAGGCCGCAUGUCAAGCGUCCUGUGAAAUGUCCGGGCUCAACCCGGGCCUUGCAGCGCAAACUGGCGUGCUUGAGUCCGCGGAAAGCAGGCGGAAUUCGUCGUGUAGCGGUGAAAUGCUUAGAUAUGACGAAGAACCCCGAUUGCGAAGGCAGCUUGCUGCAGCGGAACUGACGCUGAUGCUCGAAAGCGCGGGUAUCGAACAGGAUUAGAUACCCCAGUAGUC
RNAcentral lists this ribosomal RNA (460 nucleotides) under uncultured bacterium. RNAcentral describes it as "partial 16S ribosomal RNA". It matches the Rfam family "Bacterial small subunit ribosomal RNA", at positions 338 to 795 of the family's 1533-position model. The record is from RNAcentral.